AGUGAACGCUGGCGGUAGGCCUAACACAUGCAAGUCGAACGGCAGCACAGUAAGAGCUUGCUCUUACGGGGUGCGAGUGGCGGACGUGUGAGGAAUACAUCGGAAUCUACUUUUUCGUGGGGGAUAACGUAGGUAAACUUACGCUAAUACCGCAUACGACCUACGGGUGAAAGCAGGGGAUCUUCGGACCUUUCGCGAUUGAAUGAGCCGAUGUCGGAUUAGCUUGUUGGCGGGGUAAAGGCCCACCAAGGCGACGAUCCGUAGCUGGUCUGAGAGGAUGAUCAGCCACAUUGUAAGUGAGACACGGUCCCGACUCCUACGGGAGGCAGCAGUGGAGAAUCUUGGACAAUGGGGGAGAGCCUGAUCCAGCCAUACCGCGUGGGUGCAGAACGCCUUCGGGUUGUAAAGCCCUUUUGUUGGGAAAGAAAAGCAGCAGGUUAACACCCCGCUGUUCUGACGGUACCCAAAGAAUAAGCACCGGCUAACUUCGUG
RNAcentral lists this ribosomal RNA (492 nucleotides) under uncultured bacterium. Its description in RNAcentral is "partial 16S ribosomal RNA". It matches the Rfam family "Bacterial small subunit ribosomal RNA", at positions 29 to 507 of the family's 1533-position model. The record is from RNAcentral.